RNAcentral lists this ribosomal RNA (279 nucleotides) under uncultured bacterium. Its description in RNAcentral is "partial 16S ribosomal RNA". It matches the Rfam family "Bacterial small subunit ribosomal RNA", at positions 506 to 784 of the family's 1533-position model. The record is from RNAcentral.
UGCCAGCCGCCGCGGUAAUACGAAGGUCCCAAGCGUUGUUCGGAAUCACUGGGCGUAAGGCGUGUGUAGGCUGCGCGGAAAGUCAAAUGUGAAAGCCCGGGGCUCAACCCCGGAACUGCCUUUAAAACUACUAGUCUAGAGUUCGAGAGAGGUGAGUGGAAUUCCAAGUGUAGAGGUGAAAUUCGUAGAUAUUUGGAAGAACACCAGUGGCGAAGGCGGCUCACUGGCUCGAUACUGACGCUGAGGUGCGAAAGUGUGGGGAGCAAACAGGAUUAGAUA